Molecule: unclassified non-coding RNA, 640 nt
Filed under: Hevea brasiliensis (rubber tree)
Lineage: Eukaryota; Viridiplantae; Streptophyta; Magnoliopsida; Malpighiales; Euphorbiaceae
Source: RNAcentral
AAACAAGGUUUCAUUAGCUGAUGAUGAAGCAGAAAAGUAGCAAAAUGGAGAAUUCUUGCCUAAACUUUGUAUUAUGGUUUCAAUACACUCCGCAUUGAAUGUAUUAUGGUUCUAAGCUAAAUGUCAUGUUCGGUUUACUGAAACAUUGUAUACUUCAUGGCAUCCUGUUAUGUAUUUUCAUGCAAUGUAGUGAUUCCAUUAGAAACAAAUUAAGCUCCAUGUAGAACACUGAACCUGAAUAGAUAUAACAACAGAACAAACAAGCUAAUCUCCAACUGCCAGAUUCUAUAGGGACUAGGGUUAAACGAUUUCUUAUUGUCAAACAAUUUGGGCAGGAAACAAGCAACAGUACCCUACAGAUUAUCUGGUUUUCCAAACUUUUUAUUUAACCGUUAAAAAGUUGCAUUAAAUGCAUGAAUACACUGAAGCAUUAGGUUUCUCACAAGCAGAACUUGACUCAGUCCUAUAGUUAUAAUUUUUAUUGUGAUUUAUAUUUAAGCAUACCUCUUCCAUCACGUGCUAUGAAGAGUUCCAUUUUUCAAAAUCUUUCAGAGCCCAAAAUUCUUAGCUGAUUAAGCACGGGAGAGGCCUCAACAACUUGUGGUGCAAAUUUAGGUACCUAGUCAUUGACAUGAAAAAU